This 9016-nucleotide long non-coding RNA is filed under the name Gallus gallus (chicken). RNAcentral describes it as "lncRNA (ENSGALG00010023939.1)". Lineage: Eukaryota; Metazoa; Chordata; Aves; Galliformes; Phasianidae. The record is from RNAcentral.
CGAGACCAGACUUGUGGUAAUGUCUGUGUGCUCACCUGAACUGAAGGUGCAGGUGGACAUCCAGCGCGAUUCACAGACACCUGUAGGGAUGGCACAGCUGGAAGCUGUGCUCCACAAUGAGUCCGUGUGCUUUCCGGGCCUCUGGCUUGUAUGUCUUCCUAAAGAAACAGCAGUGAGUUGUUUUGAAGCAUAAUUUAAAUCAUACUGUUUAAAUGAGAAAAGCCACCCAACCCCCCCCCCCCCCAUGCCAGAAGCAGGAAUGAUCUAUUCAAAAUCUUACAUAAUAAACAGUAUCAAAUGCAUCGUUCACAUGACAGCUAGAACUGACAGGAACAGAGUAGUUAACUGGGGUUGUGGUGAAAGAAAGAAAAAAGAGAGUAAAGGGGGAUAUCCUACAUCGACUGGAAUCAAUGGGAACAUGACCAGGACUUGGAGGGGGGCGGGGGGGGGAUAUACAUCUGGCUCAUCUUCUCCUUCAAAAGGAGAGCAGUGGCUUUUGAAUAAACCAUGUUCCCUCCCACACACCCCAGUUCUCCUUUUGGAUGGCAGAUGUUGCACUGCCAUUUUUAAAAUGCCACCAGAGCUCAUCCCGUGCUGGAGAUGAAUGGGUUGAGAACAACACGCAGACAUGGUCUGUUUUGACCCUGUUCUCACUUCUUUGUUCCCCAUUAAGAAUAUGGUUUCAGCACUUUGAAGUGGGUUAGCCGUUUCAGAAGCAACCUGCCCCUUAAUUAAGGUUCCAUAUCUUAAUUAAUUUAGGCUAAAAACCAUAAACCUACCUGCCACCCAGCAUUUCAGGUUGGCAGUCCCCGUGUAACAUCGUGCCAUUCGUGUACUCACCGACUGCCUUCAGCAGAUACAAUGGCCUCUCCCUACUUCAGCACAGCCUAGCCUACAGGAUUACAGCAUUGUGGUCACAGGACGAAGAAGACAGACCAGUUGCUGCGUGCUGCUUUAUGAAGUGUUGCAUGACGAGCUCCAAGCGGGCCACAGACUUCUCAUUGCUUUUUUUCCUUCCUUUUUUUCCCCUCAAGAUGCAGCCAGUUUGACAAUAGAGACACAGAACACAUUUAAUGCUCGCUAAACCAGGAGUAAAAGGACAGUUCAGAGCUCAGCAGUGUGUUAGCAGAUGUCUGUAGUCCCCCACACACUGCUCUAGCUGUUCAUCCCAACCCUGCGCUUUCACAGCCUUACUAUUGUUGUCUGGGGCCCUUUGAGAGAGCAGAAGCAGCUGAACAAUCUGUCACACGAAACAGCAGUAGCUUAGCAGUGUUCCGUAAAUGAUUACCUACCUUGUAGAGAGGUGUUACACUCAAUUGGCUAAUGGUUGUAAAUUGUUAUAUGAUUGCUGUUGUUUUGUGAGAGCUGGAGCUGUGCUGGAGACACUGGAGGUGCGGUGAAGGUGGGAGAGGCAGGAGGGAGUGGGCAGAGAAUGUAUGAGGAGAAGAUUGAAAAGGAAAAUUGUAGAAACCCAGAGUGCAACUGCGGGGGGGUGGGGGGGAGAAAAAUGGAAUAUUACUUUUCAAAGAAAUUGAAAAUCUGAGCAAAGGAGAAAAUCGUAAGGAUGACAAAGGUAGUUUCAAGACCAACAAAAACAAAAAUUCCAUCAGAAGAAGGGAGGAGAUCUAAAACUAAAAAGGCCACAACAAACAGUCACCUUUAUGUGCGUAAAUAGAAUUGCCUUUUUAUUUUUUGCUCCUAAAUUGCUUUUUUUUCGUCCUUCCUGUUACCGGGACAUAUGUUCUUAAGCACUCUCUUUGAGGUGAGAAGGAAAGGGCUGCUGGAGGCCUCCCUUGUAUUAGAGUCAUUGCAUUCCUCACGGGGAGCUCAACAGAAAAAAGCCCAAAAUCUCAGCAAGGCACCCAAUAGCCUCCCUGAUUGACAACGAGUUGUCACCUUGGUUUCAGUUGGAAAACAGAGUGAGAAAGCAACAUGCAGAACAUUAUCUGAAACUACCGACCGAGCAAAGACGCUUGAGCACAAGCGACUGGUCUCCAUUCAUCCAGCAGCGGUGGUUUUUCAAGCCUUCUACACAUACGUGUUUGGGCAGGGGGUGGGAGAUGCACACACACGUACAUACAGACAUGUGCAUACACACAAAUGUACCAACACCCCUCACCCUGUCCGGGAGAUAAGAGCGUAAAAAGCCAACCCUGCUGUUAUAGUAGAGCAGAUAGCCAAACAGCGUUUCUUCAGAAGUCCGCUUCCAAAAUCCUUCGUCAGCUUUUUGAGAUACCCACACAGAGGGAGCAGUUGUGGAGCCUCAUGAAUUACAGCUCUUCCCCUUCUCUAACCGGUGAGAUCAGGGUGCCAGUGAGGAUGGUGGCUGGGGCCAUCAGAGCUAAUGGUGCCAGAGCUGUGUUUUCAUUUACACAGUUCAAAAAGGAGAGCGGUUCACUAGUGCUGCUUGCCUUGCAGUGCACCUUAACGCUCUGCUUUCCAGAUCUCCAGCAAAGGCAGAGUAUGCAGAGACUUACCUGCUGUUCCAACAGAGCGCGGAGCUGUUUGUGCAGCCGGCCUUGCCAGCAGGCUAACACUCUACAAACUGAUCUCUUUUCCCGCCCCAAACCUGUAAGUUUAUUAGGCGUAUUUAAAGAUCCUGCUCAUUUUUUUUUUUUCAUUGGCAGAGCUUAAAGAAUAAGCUUUUUCCCCAGACUUUUAAAAAUUCCUUUCUGCUACGAUCAUAUGUUCUCUGCAGCAUUAUCAGAGAAUUUACUUUUUCCGAGGUACUUGUCUUUUCUCAUUCUUCCACCUGUGAACUUGAACUUCACAGCUAACACUACACUUGGCAAAAUGUAUAAGAACUGCAUUCAGACUUGCAACCAUUUCCUUUGGUACACUAUGAGAACACUUCCUUUUCAGCGCAGCUCUACAUCAAUUAUAGGGUGGGGAUGCCCACAUCUUCUUCGUGCUUGGCCUCGCCAUUAGUGUUAAACUGAACCCACAUAUGACCAACUCAGACAGUGAAGCACUAGAAUCAGCCAUGUUGUGCACGCAUCGCACCAUUCCACAGCACAGAGAAUUCGAUUACUUAAUCAUAAAAUAUUUGCAUUGGUUUUACUUUGACUAUAUUGUAUUUUUAAUAGGUUUUAAUCUAGGCUUUGUCAUCAGAACACCGCAGUGAAGAAACUUGGCAGCGCAGUCUACCUCCACGGUUGCCAGCAAUAACAGGGCAGCCACAACACCAGUUGCAGCAGGGCGGGCAUUCCCCUAUCUCCACCAACGAUCUCCUUGAGGGAGGUGGUGGUGAGCAAUGUUUGGGAGGUGCCCCGAGACUCCCUCCCCAGUGACGGGCUCUGGAUAACUGCACAGGAGCAGGUAGCCAGGCACAGCAGCAAGCACGCCCCCAGCCUCUGGGAGAUGACCUGCUAGCUGUAGGCAUGGGAUGACACGUCAGUUCUGCUCAUUGGCACGCGCCUCCUGAUCAGCAAAAGGACAGGAUGGCACAUGGGCAGUGAACUAGCACGUACACAGCUGUGGUAGCAGCCUAGCAGUUUUCCAUACAAACCAAAUGUCUUCCCAUUAAGAACAUCAGCAUCAGUGCUGGAAGUGGUCCUAAGGUAAUGGCUACUGCAAGAGAGCGAGACGAAGGGCUCAAGAGCCACAGACAGGAGACAAACAGGGCAGCUCCAGGUGGUCAGGCAGGCUCUGCCUGUGUCCUGCACUAGGCCAAUGUGGUUUCUCAGUUUAGGAGGAGCUGGGAAGAGAACUCUACACCUGAAAAUGGCAGCACCAAGGGGACAGUACAGGCACAAGGAAGAAAGUCAGCUUGAAGAUAGUUGGAUACUAAUGGAAGGGAAGCAUUAGGCAUGGGGAUUAGCCAUCAUCUGGGGAUGAAGCUGCUGAAGCAGGAGAUACAGGGCAAAGGCUGUUUCAGAGAACUGCAUAAAAGUCUUUUUCCAUUAUCUCUGGUCAGACAUGUUAAAAAGACACAGACAAAAGUCAGCACUGGUCUACUGAAUGCAGCUGGAAAAGUAUCAGUGAAAGAGAAAUGAACCCAGAGAGCCAAACUGAGGCAAGGGUACAGGGUGCUCGUUAACAUGGCCUAGAAUCUGGUAGGGAGACACUGAGUGGUGGAAGGGGACACAAACAUCAGGCAGUUCCCGAAAUACUGGAAAAAAAAACAACCCACAAAACAAAUCAGGUGCAGAGCUCUGUGCGUUCAGGUAGCUGGAAAACAGAGUGACCACAGUCAGAAGUUACUGCAGAAGUAGGCCAUUUUCAGGUGUGCCUACAAGAUGCAUGGGAAACCCGUGGAUGCAAGCAGAAGUUGAAUUUACAGUAUUCCUGCCAGGCACCGACCUUCCUUUCAUCAGCUAUAGAUCUUAAGGCUGGCUGUCCUCCAUUCUCCGGACUCGUGUUCAGAAAGAACAGCUACGGAAUUCGUCAUGAAUAACUCUGAACAGCAACUGGUCCUGUGUCUCCUGUGGGGAUGGGUCAAACAUUUAUUGACUGGUUAACGCAAGACUGAGUGGGACCCUUACUUGUCUGUAUUCCUUCACACCACCGCCAGUACAACAAGCCACGUAUUCUCUUGGCUUGGAUCCAAACUUUCCAUCGCCUGGCUUGUGCCAUGCCCUAAAAUAAUGGAGGUCCUGUCGCUCCCGGAGACCUCAAUGUACCCAUGCUGUAGCACAAGCAGAAAUUCAAAGCACCGAGUUACUUUCAAACCUUGCUCCCAGCUACAGUUGAAGGUUGGUCACUGGAGGAGGUAGACCUCAAUAGUACUCAGUCAGACUACUUUUAUAUCCCCCUGUAGAAGAUCAAGACUGUAGGAAUACAAGACAGAAACACUGCUGUGCUGUGGUACCUUGGCAUGAGAUGGUUUAAAAGCUUAGUGAGGCACCUCAAUCGAGUUACACAGUUCCAGGGAGACUGGAAGCGUAGAGAAACCAUCCGACUCUCCACAAAAAAGUUAUUACUCAAAAGGGUUUUUGCUUACCAAAUAAUCUGAUCUCUGGCUACUGCAAAAUGGUUUUCCUGCUCUCUUUGAACUGAAUUUCAAUAUGUGCUUGCAUGAAGAACAUAAUGAAGUACAUGCCUACGGCAAGUGCACUUUAAAGCACUGUCCUUUAUUCCUAGAGACAUUUCCAGGAAACGCGAAGCAGCGGAAUAAAACACCUCUGGCUUUAUCACAGACUCCUUCUGCUGCGUCACUCCUUGCUCAGGGGCUGACACUCGGACAGACACAAGCACAGCAGAUCUGCCUGGCUCUUAGCCAUGCAGGAGAGCCGUGCCUCACAGGAAGGCAGACGUGACGAGGCCUGCAACCCGAAGGCAGCGCACAGCAUUUCAGAAGAGCUGCACGGCACAACUCCAAAGGCCAGUUCCUUCACCAGCCAUGUCUUCACACAAGCAAAGAUACGCACCGAAUAUAACUGCCCAAGUUAUACUGCAGUAUCUGACAGCAGGAUUUAUCUUUCUCUCCGUUCAAAACUCCCACCCUGGUGAAGUGGGACAUUUAGAAGCAGAGAUCAGGCAGUGCUCAUUCAUAGGCGGCUGGUAGCUCACUCUGAAUAGCUCACAUGCAGCCUUACAAGUAAAAUGGCAUUUCUGCCUCUUUCUGAAGCAUCAUCCAGAAAGGGCCCCUUGUGUUACACAUAGUCCAGAUGAACCCUUGGUUAGAGACAGGCAGCUUUUCAGGCCCAGUGGGACCGGGUCACCGAAGGCAGCAUGCAGCAGCUUGCUUAAGGGGCCAGGCUCAUUGGCAUCUCUUAGUUAGGGCUGUGAGAUCUCUCUGCCACUCCAUCCUGAGGCCCAGGGAGGCAUCACUAGUUUUUCAGCCUUGCUUUUACCGAAUAACUCAGCUAAUAGCAUCAGAUGAAGCAGGGAUUUUCUGAUGUUUGGCUAAGCUGUUAAUAUUGUCGUUCUGGCACAUGUUAACAAGUACAGGCAGGUCUGGGUAUUAGUCAUAUUUUUAGAGGCAGCUUUUUUUCUUAUUCUCUGUCUCUCUCUCUCUCUUUUUUUUUUUUUUAAUUAUCUUAUCCAUUGUUACCGGGCUUCAAAGCCCUCAGCAGAAACAGCUGUGUGAGCGUUAUAAAAUUAUAUUGCUAGGCCAGGGCUGUUUUCCAGCUUUACACAAGCUGUAGGUCAAAAGACACUACUCUCUGCACUGAGAAAAGGUACAGAAGGAAUUGCAGGCUAAGAACCAAGUACCUACUCCUGGGGCAUGCCUGAACUGACACUGCCCUCCCAAAUCUGAUUUAGUUUCUAUGUAUAUGCACCUUACUCUAUGGUGUUCAACCUCCAAACUGAUAAAGUGGGAUCGGUCAUAUGUCUGACUCAGCAGCCACUGCAUGCACAGGCUUUUCAGUGCUUUGGCACAUCUUCACUGGUCAUCUAGCAUCAUUAAACGUAUCCUGGAGGUGACCUUUAUGGUACUGGAAUGCUUCAGUAGCAUGUAUUUAUUUUUCUGGGGCUCCUCUGAGCAGAAGCUUGGCCGGCAGUUCUCAGCGAGGCUGCGCUGCUGAAGGUUGGCUUCUGUAAAGUUCAAAGCACUCAAGCCUUACACGUGCCCUCAUCUUGAAUUAGAUAUUGGUAUAUGAAAAGUUGCUGAAGAAACUCUCGCAAUGAGCUCUGUUUCUUAGAGAAGGAUCGGCUCACGACUCUACCUUACCUCUAGCUGCUGUUUGCAUGACAAGUCCUUCAAGGAACAUAAAAAACAAACCCAUUCAUUACGUUUGCACAAGUCAGGCUGACUUGCAGUUGUUACGCAGGAAACAAAUACAAACACAAAUCAUAAAGGAAUGGGAACAAUUAAUUACAGACAACGGAGCAGUGAAGCUUGUUACCAGCACCCAUCGGUCCCACCACUGCUCCCAGCCGAGCAGCCCAUGCCGCAGAACAGGGCCGUGUGCUCAGAGGCAGCAGCUGAGCAGAGCUCGUCCUGCCGCAGCCCGCCUGCUCCUUUGUGGCCCGACAGGCUGCGGCAACCGUGACAGCAGGGACUGCACUCAGCAGAGCAACAGAUUGCAAAGCAGCCGGCGAUACCAGGGCCACGCUUAUGUGGCAAAAUGUGCUAUGAUACCAAGAGGCGAGCUGCCUGCUGCACUACAGCAAAGCAGAUUGCAUAGCAUUAGCGCUGGUGACAACAGGGCACUCAUUGUGUGGGACAACAAGUCACACAGAGAAUGUGCAAAUGCGAUUGGUUGGGCCCACUUAACAUAUGCACAGCAGAGUGACAUAUGGCAAUUGGUGACUUCCCUGCCACAGAUGCUGAAAGGCUUUGUUUCCAUACAGUGUGUGGUGCAGACCCCGUACAUUGUUUCCCUUUUGGUGGGGAGCCCUGUGAGUGCCAGCAGCGCACAGACCCAACCUCCGCGCGCCGCACAUUCCUGGUGCCCCAGUGCCUCUGGCUGUGCUGUGCUGUGCUGUGCAGGCGCUCCUGCUGAAACACUGCCCACCAGCCAAAGCCAUGGGCAUGCUGAGAAACACCAUUCAUUCUGAAACGCAGCUGAGAUGGACUCCCUUUUCCGUUCCCUCUGCCCUUCUCGUUGGGUUUCUACACGUUGAGAUAAUGCCACAGCCUGAAACAAACCAUUUCUAAAGAUGCUUGCUUUUUCAUUAGAACCUUUGUUUUCAGUAGUUUCUCUCUAUGAAGGAUACAAACAUGUAACUAGAUUGUAGUUGACAAAUAGAUUGCUUUUUCAACACUGCUAAGCAAACGUUUAAGUGGAAGUAAAGAUGGGCAAUGCCAAGUGCUAUCUUGGCCACAAGACAGAGACGAAUGGAAAAGAGGCUUGAUCAGCUUGCUGCCACCUCCCACCGGGGAGCAUCUUCAGAGCUGCCCAAAUGAGCAGACUUUUAUUCACUUUAUGCUCCUUUUGCUUUUUGAGAGCUAGUGAAGGAAACGUUGCUUUGUAAAGGGGCUGUGGAGCAGCCAUACUCCAAGUCAAGGGUAACACGACUUGCUCCUACCAUGCUGCAGAAGAAGGUGGCAAAAGAAUGAGCAUGAGUGCUGAGACCACUUGGAGAUCACCAGAGGGCUGAGUUGCUCCAAGACCUUCACAGUGACUUGUCUCCAUGGCCCCCAAUGGCUCCCUGAGUUUCUGUAUAUCCAUGCAGAAAUAUGAGCACAUGUGCGGUAAGUCUGAUUAGUUCUGACUGCAUCGUAUUUACUCUGCAAGCACCAACCAUCUGUGCAGCAACUGUCCAAUAUGUCCAGGCUGCAUCAGACCCUCUGGACCCGUACUGUGUUGAUGCACGCAUUUGCAGUGCUCAUCCAAUACCUCUGGCUGGCUCAUCUCUCGGAACUACCACUCUGUUAUGAUGAAAUCUCAGAUAAACAGCUUCAGCCCUCAAAUUAGGCCCGAAUAAAGAAGCAGAAAUGGGGAACAACAUGAGGUGCAUUUGGGGAAAACUGGAUUUGCAGCAGUCCCGUCUCUGUGGCUUUGAGUAUAAUCUGAAGAGUUAGUAAUCAACUGACUGGGAGAGGGCAUACGGGGAGAAGAGUUUUACCUUGAGAAUAGCUCCCUCUGCAGCCUUAUUUUCAGCACCCACAACACAGCACAUCAGAACAGAAUCGUUCAGUUGGGGGAGUCCUACAAAGACCGUCACACACCUGAUGUACACCAGGUAGUUAACUGAUGGCUCCAGAGUGAAACAAAAACGGAAGCAUAUUGUUAAGGAUGUUAUCCAAAUGCUCCUUGAGAGCUGACAGGCACCGGGCAUCGACCCCCUCUCCAUCCCAUUGCUCAACCACCCUCGUGUUGAAGAAUUUUUUCCUAAUACCCAGUCCUUAGACUAACAAUUGCUUAAUUGCUACUCGUAGCUGGAAGAGCCUUCUGGGAAUGAACGGAGUCAGUCUGGAAAAGCUGUGCUCUCCACUCCUGCUAGGGUGCCAGUUUGUCUCAUGCUUUGCAAUGCCACAGGACGGUGCAAAACAACCUCAGUGAUCCACACCGAAAAGCAGCCGGCCUUUCAAUCUUAAAUAACGCUGCCGACAGGAAGAUCGCAUCAAAGCUGCUGAGAAGCUGGUAAAGAAACGAGGCAACUUCUGAAUGUCCUGCAAUACCCG